GGAACAUCACCCAAUUUAAAGGUUGAGCAACUAUAUAGUAAUAGAAGUGACAUUAGCAAUUGCAAAAUAAAGGUAACAUCAAUAAAAGUUUAAUUUUUAAAUCCUCCUCAGUUUUCAAUUGACGGAUGCACAAUUAUUUUCUAUAUCAUCCACCCAUAUUUUGCAUUCCACUUUCAAAAAGUUCAACAAGUAACAAUGAUAGAUGCAUCAACAACAACUUCACUUACAGUUGACUCA
RNAcentral lists this unclassified non-coding RNA (237 nucleotides) under Hevea brasiliensis (rubber tree). The record is from RNAcentral. Lineage: Eukaryota; Viridiplantae; Streptophyta; Magnoliopsida; Malpighiales; Euphorbiaceae.